GGGUCAGUAGGUUGGUCGUGCCACCGGUACGUACUGGUCUCACUGAUUCCUCCUUCCUGAAGAACCGUAAUGCCAUUAAUUUGGUGUUGCGGGGAAACAGGGCUGUUACUUUGAAAAAAUUAGAGUGUUUAACGCAAGCUAACGCUUGAAUACAUUAGCAUGGAAUAAUGAAAUAGGACGAUCGAUCCUAUUUUGUUGGUUUCUAGGAUUGACGUA
Molecule: ribosomal RNA, 216 nt
Filed under: Glomeromycotina sp.
Lineage: Eukaryota; Fungi; Glomeromycota
Description: partial small subunit ribosomal RNA
Rfam family: Eukaryotic small subunit ribosomal RNA (bases 40-216)
Source: RNAcentral